UACGUAGGGUGCAAGCGUUGUCCGGAAUUAUUGGGCGUAAAGCGCGUGUAGGCGGCUUUGCAAGUCGGGGGUGAAAGCCCUCAGCUCAACUGAGGAAGUGCGCCCGAAACUGCAGAGCUUGAGUACCGGAGAGGAUGGCGGAAUUCCCCAAGUAGAGGUGAAAUUCGUAGAUAUGGGGAGGAACACCGGUGGCGAAGGCGGCCAUCUGGACGGAUACUGACGCUGAGACGCGAAAGCGUGGGGAGCAAACAGG
RNAcentral lists this ribosomal RNA (253 nucleotides) under uncultured bacterium. RNAcentral describes it as "partial 16S ribosomal RNA". It matches the Rfam family "Bacterial small subunit ribosomal RNA", at positions 524 to 776 of the family's 1533-position model. The record is from RNAcentral.